RNAcentral lists this non-coding RNA (191 nucleotides) under Palpitomonas bilix. The record is from RNAcentral.
GAAAAAACGGAAGAUCGCGGAAGGAUACUUCGCACUGGAAUGCCGGCGUCAUCCAACACAGGUCUGACAUCUUGGAGGACAGAGAAGCCAAACAAGGAAGGGAGACUGAUCACCACAAAAGGGGGGAAAGCGGAGAAGAUGAAGACACCAGAAGAAGACCAGGCGAAAAAAUUGAACAGUCGACUCCACAA